AACGCACAUUGCGCCCUUUGGUAUUCCGAGGGGCACGCCUGUUCGAGCGUCAUUUAAACCAUCAAGCCCUGCUUGGUCUUGGACGCGGUCGAGUGACCCGUCCGUAACCCGUUGGCGGUGCAGUCCGGCUUCAAGCGUAGUAAGAAUUUCGCUUCAGGAGCCCGCGGCGGCGUCUGCCAGGAAACACCACCCAAAGUUUGACCUCGGAUCAGGUGAGGAUACCCGCUGAACUUAA
Molecule: unclassified non-coding RNA, 235 nt
Filed under: uncultured fungus
Lineage: Eukaryota; Fungi
Description: sequence contains ITS2
Source: RNAcentral